CCUACGGGAGGCAGCAGUGAGGAAUAUUGGUCAAUGGGCGAGAGCCUGAACCAGCCAAGUAGCGUGAAGGAAGACUGCCCUAUGGGUCGUAAACUUCUUUUGUAUGGGAAUAAAGUCCACUACGUGUAGUGGUCUUGUAUGUACCUUACGAAUAAGCAUCGCCUAAU
This 167-nucleotide ribosomal RNA is filed under the name uncultured bacterium. Its description in RNAcentral is "partial 16S ribosomal RNA". It matches the Rfam family "Bacterial small subunit ribosomal RNA", at positions 338 to 501 of the family's 1533-position model. The record is from RNAcentral.